Molecule: ribosomal RNA, 253 nt
Filed under: uncultured bacterium
Lineage: Bacteria
Description: partial 16S ribosomal RNA
Rfam family: Bacterial small subunit ribosomal RNA
Source: RNAcentral
UACGAAGGGGGCUAGCGUUGCUCGGAAUUACUGGGCGUAAAGGGCGCGUAGGCGGCUCGGUCAGUCAGGCGUGAAAUUCCUGGGCUUAACCUGGGGACUGCGCUUGAUACUGUCGAGCUUGAGGCCGAGAGAGGGUGGUGGAAUUCCCAGUGUAGAGGUGAAAUUCGUAGAUAUUGGGAAGAACACCGGUGGCGAAGGCGACCACCUGGCUCGGUACUGACGCUGAGGCGCGACAGCGUGGGGAGCAAACAGG